Molecule: long non-coding RNA, 1303 nt
Filed under: Nicotiana tabacum (common tobacco)
Lineage: Eukaryota; Viridiplantae; Streptophyta; Magnoliopsida; Solanales; Solanaceae
Description: long non-coding RNA (NTAB_LNC005400)
Source: RNAcentral
CGGCUUCUAUAGCAAAGUCAGUUUUAUUUCCUCCUUUUCGGAAGAAAACAAUUAAAAGAAUUGCUUAACCAAAUUAAAAAAAAAAAGACUAAAUACUGGAGUUCCUUACAUAUCUUUUUUAACAAUCUUUUAUUUCUUGGUCACGUGCACGGCACACCGAAGUAGGCGUCAGCAUUUUUCCUAUCUUAUUUCCUCGUAAUAGUGACGAGUACUAGAAUCCCAAUACAAAAGGCGGUCCAUUUCGUAAGUGCCUGGUUUUUCCCUGCAAAUGGAUUUUCCUAUAAAAUGGAGUAGUGGACAAAAAGAUUAUGUCUUUUGGGAAGAAACUAUUUUUUCUUCUUCUCCGAAAGUGCUUCUAUUUCUAUUCAAAAGUAUUUUUUUUUUUUAAAAGUUUGGUCAAACAUAUUAACUUUGAAAAAAAAAUGGACUUAAUCUUGGAGAUGCUUAGCCAAACAGGCUAUUAGUUCUAUCUCUCAAAUUUGAAAGUAAUUUUGUAUCUAAUUGUGAAGGAAUAAUAUUUUAAAUUACAGUAUUGAUUAAUUGUUUUACUUUUAGAGAGGAAAAUGUGUAGUUUGAUACUAAUAGUUUUUAAAAAAUUAUAAUUUUUUAAUUAUUUGAAUGUUAAGUAGGAUUGAUUUGUAUCUCACAUUAACUUUAAGACUAUUGCAUUAUUAAUAUAUGUAAAAAGGCUAGAAACUUUAUUUUCUAUAAGUUUCUUUAAUCCUUUUCAAUUUUAUUAAUUUUAAUGUACUUUAUAUAUUUUUUGUGUUAUUAUGCUAUUUUAUUAAUUUAUAAAUUAGAAAAUUUAAAGAUUCAUGGGGCAUGUACCUCGGGCUUUCGCCUCGCUCCAUAUUAAGUAAAACGCUCCGCCUCACGCCCCUGCCCUUUAAAACACUGUUUAGAAUAUGAAACUAUACUGGAAACCAGUCAAUUCUUCUUCCAUUCUUUUUUCUUCCUUUCUUUAGGGUAACAAAAUACAAUCGGAAAAAAAAAAGAGAAAAGAGAAAAAUGUAUAUAUCUUCUGCAAGUCAAAACUACUGAAAAUGAAGAAAUAAGAGAAGUUGAAAAGGUAUUUAUCAAAACAUGCAUACCUUGAGAAUUUGAAGAAGUUUCUCUUCGUCUUUUAGUUCCAUGUUGAUUUUGUUCGAGUAAUUUUCUUCUUCUUUUUGUAGUCUCCCUUUCUUCUUGAGUGGCUUCUAAUCCUACAUGCUCAUCUUCCAUAUCUUUAAUCAGUUUUUUGAAAUACCCAAGAAUUUCAGAGGAGAGUAUUUAGUGGAGGCCUUUCAGAUACUUGGCUCUUUUA